RNAcentral lists this long non-coding RNA (1028 nucleotides) under Lathyrus oleraceus (garden pea). RNAcentral's name for it is "Pisum sativum (pea) long non-coding RNA (PSAT_LNC009401)". The record is from RNAcentral. Lineage: Eukaryota; Viridiplantae; Streptophyta; Magnoliopsida; Fabales; Fabaceae.
CCAAUUUGAACUAAUGUCACUCCAUUCAAAGUACACCAUAUGACUAGUUGCUUGAUGUUCAAACAAACCGAGAAAAAAAAGUUAUCAAGCCAUCAACUAAAUCCAAAAUAUUCUAGUAGUGUUAACCUCAUUUAAUUCUUCUUAAAGCAAGAAUCAACAAGCUUAUUUAGUAUGCUAGUUGAGUCAAGAAACUGGUCCUUUAUUCAAGUAAUAUUCAUACUAAUUGAAAGUACUGCAAAAACUAAACUCAGGCAUAAAGCAAACAAAACAAAAGCUGAAAUUAAAUAAAACAAAUAAAAACUCCAGAAUCAACAAGGAUAAACCAGCAAACAAGAGAAAAUAAAAACGAACCAAUCCUUUGUGGUGAUGGAGUGCUUGAAGGAAAUCGAUGCUUCUCGUGGAGUGGUGGUCGCUGUAUGGAUAUUCCUUGCUUCGAAACUCUUUAUGAACAGAUCUCACAAUAUCAACUGCAUCGCCGUAUUGUUGCUGUAAUAGUGUGAGCGGUGUUACGGAGGUGUUGUGUAGUAGAGCCGUGAAUUGGUGGUGUUUAUAAGUGGUUGAAGAAAAAGAAGGUUUUGUGGUGUGCGUGAAGGAGGUCGGAUUUGUUUGACGAUGGAGGUUCGGCGGUGAGUUAAGGGUGGUGGUGGUGAGUUGUUGUUGGUCACGACGUGAACAACGGUAGAGGUGCGGUUGUAGUCACGGCGGUUUCGGAAGGGUGUUCGUAACGUGAACGGCGUCACGGUUGCGGAGGGAGUUUCGGCGAUGUGGGUUGUAGUUGAGGGAGACGGUGGAAACGCGAACGGAGGAUGGAGGUUUCGUCGCGGGUUGAAACGAGAUGUACGGAUGAGAUCGAUGAGUGGGCUUUCACGGUGAUGGCGUGAAGUUACCGAAGACGAACAGAAGAUGUUGUAGAGGUGGUGUGGAGAAGAAGAGGAAAAAUUUCUUCCUUCUUUUCCGUUUUCGUUUUUUUUUCUUUUGUUACUUUUUUGAGAGAGAGAUUUGAGAGGUGUCAGUAGAGAGAAUUAUUG